GAAUAUACGAGUUCACUCCAACCCAUGUGACGUUACCAAACUGUUGCCUCGGCGGGAUCUCUGCCCCGGGUGCGUCGCAGCCCCGGACCAAGGCGCCCGCCGGAGGACCAACCAAAACUCUUUUUGUAUACCCCCUCGCGGGUUUUUUAUAAUCUGAGCCUUCUCGGCGCCUCUCGUAGGCGUUUCGAAAAUGAAUCAAAACUUUCAACAACGGAUCUCUUGGUUCUGGCAUCGAUGAAGAACGCAGCGAAAUGCGAUAAGUAAUGUGAAUUGCAGAAUUCAGUGAAUCAUCGAAUCUUUGAACGCACAUUGCGCCCGCCAGUAUUCUGGCGGGCAUGCCUGUCCGAGCGUCAUUUCAACCCUCGAACCCCUCCGGGGGGUCGGCGUUGGGGAUCGGCCCUGCCUCUUGGCUUGGUCCGUCUCCGAAAUACAAUGGCGGUCGGUCUCGCCCUCUCUCUCCUGCGCUUUGUUUGCACACUCGCAUCGGGAGCGCGGCCCCCCACAGCCGUUAAACACCCAACUUCUGAAAUGUUGACCUCGGAUCAGGUAGGAAUACCCGCUGAACUUAAGCAUAUCAAUAAGCGGAGGAACAUUU
This 595-nucleotide ribosomal RNA is filed under the name uncultured Trichoderma. RNAcentral's name for it is "eukaryotic LSU rRNA". The stretch from base 200 to 353 matches the Rfam family "5.8S ribosomal RNA". Lineage: Eukaryota; Fungi; Ascomycota; Sordariomycetes; Hypocreales; Hypocreaceae. The record is from RNAcentral.